AUGCUGAAUUUGGAAGCACAUAUACUAAAAUUGGAACUAUGCAGGGAAGAUUGGCAUGGCCCAUGUACAAGGAUGACAAACAAAUUUGUGAGGUGUUCCAUAAUUUU
RNAcentral lists this small nuclear RNA (107 nucleotides) under Jaculus jaculus (lesser Egyptian jerboa). Lineage: Eukaryota; Metazoa; Chordata; Mammalia; Rodentia; Dipodidae. The record is from RNAcentral.